This is a long non-coding RNA of Haemorhous mexicanus (house finch), 13654 nucleotides long. RefSeq lists it as uncharacterized. Lineage: Eukaryota; Metazoa; Chordata; Aves; Passeriformes; Fringillidae. The transcript has 5 exons. The record is from RefSeq and is a predicted model, not a curated record.
CCGCCCUGGGCGCCUUCGCCCACCUGGUGUGCCUGCCCGGCCGAGCAGCCAAGCCGUUCCCAGUGCUGUUCGGUGGCGACAAGCUCGGAACGGCGCGGGGUGGGGGGCGGGCAGCCCGAGCAGGGCCGGCUCUGAAGUGACCGUGGAGCCCAGCUGACGAGGGGACUCACCUGGCUAGCCCCGUAAGGCCGCUGAACCAGCACCGGGGUCACACAGCCUUCCACCAAGUCACACUUAUUUUUUUUAAUCCGCCACCAAGUUUAAGUGGCAAACAUGCAGUUAAGCUUAAAUGAACAUGUGAGCAUAGAUGUUACCUUAUUCAAAGAAUUCAUUCACAGACAAGUAAGAUUAAAAUCUGAUAAUAGAUUCUUGGGCAAAACUUGUCACCUAGAAGUAUAGACAGUUGAAGUCAAAGAGUGCUUUGUAUAGAUGUAUCCAUAUAUAUUUGGAAGGGGGUAAAAAUCAAGUCCAAGGAGAAAAGGUUGUUACCCUUCACUAGCUCAGUUUACUUGGAACAUUAAACCACUGAGGUAUCAAAUGUGGAAGUGAGCUGGAUCGGUGAAAUGCAACCUUUCACUGUGACUGAAGGGAACAUUACAGCAUCACUGCUGAUGAUAUUCACCAUUAUCAGAAAGAGAAAGAAAAAAAAAUAGCCAGCAGAUGAAUAUCAAACUAAAUCUCAUCUUAAAUACACAUGUAUUGAAUAAAGCACUAACUUUAUUUUAUUUUCUCUCCAACCCUUAUUUUGAGCCUGUGAAGGGGGAAAAUGUUUGCUGUUGAGGAAGCUGGUUCCAAAAUCCACUACAGAUGACCAGCAGUGGUCCAGUAGGGCAAACAGAGGGUAAUUGUGCAGCUUGCCAGAAGAUUCUCUGGGAUGGAAGUUUACAUUUCUCAAAAUACUUCUCAUUUCAUGAGAAAGGGAGAAAAUGUAUUUGAACAGAAGGGAAAGCAGAUCAGACUUUGCAAUACUUUCCAAAAUACCAUCCAUUUAUCUCGACUAGGGGGACGAUAAAGAGAAAUUGAAAUGUCAGAGCAUCCAUUCAUGGCAUGGUCAGCAUCAGACGGAGGAGAAACUCUUGCCCUUCAAACCAGCGUCUCCCCACCCAGCCACUGAUUGCCAUCACCUACAUCAGCUGCCUGGCUUCAUUGAGGCCAUGUAGAGGUGGAGCUGCCUGGACCCCAGAAGACAGGCUUUUUUGUUUUAAGGAGCUCCACAGAUCACUCUGUGCCUGUACACUCAUCUUAACACAGCAAAGUUAGCAAAUAUGUUCAGCUAAAAGAAAAUGAUAACAUCUUAAAGAUAGCAUUGAGUAUGAUUUGGGGGCAGGAUUUGGUCUACUGAAGAAUAUUAACUCACCCUUUGAGGUAAUAUCUACUUUAUCUGUUGAAAAAAAAUACAGCUUUGUUUACUCUCUGUUGGUAUUUGCCCAACAGAAAGUAUUGUCUAGUUUUGAAAACAUAUCAGGCCACACAAAAGAGCUGCCAGGCUCUUAGUGAGCUGAUGAUUCCUUUUUGCAUCAUCGUUUUCCUUAUCUUGGGAUCCAGGCUGUCAUCUUUAAUUAUUUUAAAAUGAACUGCCGCAUCUUUAUCAGAAUAUUUUAUCCCCUGGUCACUCUUCUAUCUCUUCCUUAUCCAUAAAAGCAAAGAAUUGUGAUUCAUUUUAUUUGAUUAUUGGUGUUUUGCUUCAUUGCUUCUUAAAUUGAGGAAACUUUAAAAAAAAUAUAUAUUCAGCUUCCCUUAAUAUUCUGGCUCUCUAUUGUGAGUGCCCUUCCUGGCUGCUCAGCUCUUUCCAGCAGACUUUUCUCACAUUCUGGGUGAUGAAAUGCUGUGUCUUCCUUCCAGUUUGCCUGGAACUAAUCAGCUCUGUGAUGCUGGAGAGGAAAGACUCCUGGAGUCUAGAACAGGUGAUGCACAAGCCCAGCUGUUCUGUCUGCAUUAUUCAAUUUCUCCUGCUUUAUCAACCACAGAUCUUAUGUCCUGGUCCCUGUGCCCUUCCCCACCAGCCCAAACACCAUGGCCCUUUCCUGUGUACACCAAUUUCCUUUAUUUUAAUUGCAGCCUCUUACUCACAAAAAUCAAAGUCUGAUUUACACAAUCUAGUCCCACAAAGCAUGGGCAAUAUAUAGAUAAAUAUAUAUAUACACAUAUACAUAUCUGUAGAUAAAUGCCUAGGUAGCUACAUUUCUAUUGGUUCAGCACAACACGUGCAUCCAGUGAUCAACAAAAUGCAAAUUUGGAAAAGUGGGGGUGAAGCAAAAUGGGUUUUAGCAUUUUCAUUAUUACAGACAGAAUGUAAUAAAGCAGCUCUAUACCACGACACCCAAAGAGUCAUCUUAUAAUCUACAUGUGCCUCUCAAGAGCCAUUAAUUAAAUAUUUUACCAUAUUAGGUUUAAAAUUAAGAAAUAUUCUGUGCAGAAUUGCAAUCUCAUGAACCUGCAAAUACAAGAGGAUGGGACACGGAGGUAGAGUAGAAGUGGACCAAAUAUACAGACUAGGAAGACGUAAGGGUGGGGCACUGGGCACUAAGCUUCCCUGGUACAGACAAGAACUUGAUGAGAAGAGGCCCAAAGAGUGGUGUAGGGCACCCCACAGAGCAAUCAGAGCUCCACACCAGAGAGCAGAACAGUAACUGGCAUGAGAGCAGAAGCUGAAAUGAAAGCUGACAGUGGAACAAAUGUUGGUCGGUGAAACACAGGCUGAUUAUAUACCAGUUAGCAUUGAUUCGUGUGCCAAGAAUAACAGCAGGCACUGCAACAGAGUGGGGGAGUGUGAGGCACUGAGAAAGAGCUCAGCACAACAGAGCAGGAGAUGAUUAAACAAACAAACAAACAAACAAACAAACAAACAAACAAGCCCUCACCCCAAGGAGGAAAUUAUUAAAGCAGCAUGAACAUAGAGCAGCAGCCGUCUUCUGCGGGAAGCAAAUUCUGCAGUGAGCCUGCAGACUAGGAAAGCCCACAAAUGGCAACUCUGCAUUACUGGGGGAAAAUGGAAUGGUGAGAGCUGCUAGCCAGCAUAUGUUUGACCUUUCUGAGAAAAGUGGCAUAAGCACCUUCAUUAAUGACCACGGCAGGGAGAAGAGCCGUUCUGGAAGGAGGUUUGAUUUCCGGACCAUCUGCGAUCCCGCCUGCCAAGCAAGGGGAAGGCACCAGCCAGCCCGGGCCCUGGCCAGUAUUCCUCUUCACAGGCAAGGGAAGGUGAGAGAGGCUUCUCCUCACUUCUCAUGUGCAGGGAAUCUCAUUUAACUCUUGAGCACUUGGGGACCUGUCGGAGAUUGUGCAAACGAAAGGCACUGCUCACUUGAGCAGAAGCAGAUCUGGGCUCUCUGUGACCACCUCUUACUGGGAGGAAGGAAAGGAUAGCCAGCAGAAAGACCCAAUGGAUUAAACCAUUUCAGGUCUAGUAUUUCACAUGGACAGCGAGUGUUUUGGUAUCCAUCAAGACACAAGACACUUCUUUCUUUCUUUCAAGCACACUUGGCAAGUAUUUUUCAUCUCCUUUGUUACAUUUUAUCAAUGAGAGGGGUAAAGCUGGAAGGUAGCAAAACCCAUUUUGCUCACUGAAAAGAAUAUGUGAUCGUGGAAAUAUCUGGCUGUCACAUACAAAUACAUACAGAUGGGAAGUGCUGUGAAGAAAACACAGAUUGGUUGGCCUCAUCUCUACAGGAGAGUUUAGUACCGUGACUCACAAGAAUUUGUUUGCAAAGUUGGGAUGUACUUCAAGAAUUAUGAACAACCUGAGGACUUGGGCAAACAGGAUAGUAUAAAAAGAUCAAUUGUUAGGGGUGUUACCAGCCCACAGAGGUAUCUCAAAGCACAAAUUAGCCCAUUUCCCUUCAUGCCUAUGAUGCAAGACAAUGCCCGUAUUUAUAACGGAUGACUGGAUUCUGUCACAGGAAGAAUUAGGUACUCCUGGAGCUAGUAAAAGUAUGGAAUGGGAUGGGAAAAAAGUGUGACAUAAUUCACCUGGGAUCAAAGAAGAAGGUGUGUUGUCUUGUGCUGAGAUAUUUUCAAGCAAUGCUGAGGAGGAGGAGGAGGAGGAGGAUCUGGUUAUGCUGCAGAACUGUCCACUGCUGCUUAGGCUAAGUGCCACAGCCAGGAAAGACAUGAUAGUGGAUCCAGGAAGAGUCACCUGAGAAGUUGUCCACAGUGUCAUGGAAGGUCACUAGCUAAGUCUCCACAGCAGCCUGAUUGAGCUGUCAGUGUGCACUUCUCAUCAGCUGCCCUUCAAAAAGAGGAUUUUAAACAGACAAAGGGGAAAAGGGCUACUCAUGAGUAGAGUCCCUCUGUUUCUGAAGGGUAGAUCAAAUAGCCUGUUUUGUGUAGCUGUGUUAACAGAAGACUGAGAGAAGGUUGGAUUACAUUUGAGUAAUAAAUACAGGAAGAGAGAGGAAUUAUUUCCAUUUAGAUAAAAGCUGCUACAAGAUCAAGCAGCUGUACACUGACCCUGAAAGAAUUUGGCUUGGAAAGAAGAAAUUUAACUUUCAGAAAUAAAGUGCCAGAGCAGCCUUUGAACAGGGAUGCUGAGAGAGGGUAUUUGACUGUUACAAGAUAACCUUGGAUUAAUUUACAGAAGAGAUUGUGUGAAUACUGGGAUGGUUCUUGGGUUAAGAAAAGAUGGUAACAGAUGGGGUUUCAAUUGCUUUAGUGUUACUCAGAAUUCCAGUCAAAAGGAGACUUAGUCCCAUGUGUUUGUGACACAAUAUUUAGCUGCUGAGUCUCAUGCUAGGCCAGGUUCCUGGUUAUCCUGGUGCCAGGACAGAUUUUCUCUUCUGUGCUUGAUGCUGUUCAUUUUGGGUUUGUUUGAACUUUUUUUAGGGUACUACAGCUUUUUCAGCCAGCACCAGGAUGUUGGUCCAGGUGUGUGGAUGCCUCAGUGUCAUGGGGACAACUUUUCAGCAGUGCACCAGUUUGCAUCCCCCACUGGCCUCAAAGUAGUGCAGCAAGCAAUUUUGCUAGCUCUUUUCCAUGAAAUUUUAAGUGGCAUUAGAUAACCUGGAGGAAGUCUCUCAUGUCUGGCAGCUAAACUGAGAGCAUGAAACUGAAAAAGAAUAUGAUGAAAAAAGGCACUGCCAUUUGCAAUUGAGAUGUCUUUGCAACUCAGGGGUUUUUUCCUCUGAUCUGAACCGAGUCCAAUUCUGCAAAGAUUUCUGCACAUCAGUAGAUCUGAGUUGGGAGAGAUCUUCUCAUUUUGGGGAAAGUUUGCCUACAGAAACCAUGACUAUUUGUAAAGUACAGCUUUCAGUCUCUACCCUUCCCAAGCUGAACACUCAUCCAGGUUUUCUUGUUUUGUUAGAACAAGAGAAACAAAUCCUAUCAGCUGACAACAAAUUGAAAAUGUUGCAUAUAAACACCUGAAAAGGUACAAACCAUUUACAUAUAACCAACAGAGCUGUUAUGUAAAGUGCACAUUUUUAACCCAAGAAUAUUUCCCAGCUGCUAGUCUAUAAUCUAAAUGAGCAUGAAGUCUUCUUCCUUCAGCAGGAGCACUAUUUAGUGAAAAUCUCCUUCAGAACCAGUCUUGGCAGCCAUUAAACAUGCUGGAUGUGCUUAGCCUAAACCAUUUGACAGCAGGAUCUUUCAGAGGACUGAUAACUGAGUAAGACUUAAACCUGUUAAAAACCUAUUUUCUGCCAUAGCAUAAAUACAUACCUGCAGCUGGUAUGAAGCCCAAGUCUCUAUUUGUUUUGAAUUUGUGCCUCAAAUUGAAUUGUCACAAUUAACUUCCUGCAAUCCACUUAGCUGGGUUUUAAGCUAAACAAUACCACACAGAAGAACAGAAGUUAAUGUUCUGAUUUGUGUAUGGCCUUGAAAUUUGGGUGCAAAGUAGGCCAAAUUUAUGUAAAGUUUGCCAAAUUCCAUGGGAAUGUGCACUGUGGCUGCUGCAUCAGGGCAAGAAUAUGAAUUGAAUCUAAGCAAGACAGGAGUUGAAAAUCACCUCUGAUCUCACUGCCUGUUCUUGCUUCCUCAAAGUCCUUUAAGAGACCACUCUGUCAUUACAGAGAUGAAUUUGGACUCUUGAGAUUGAGGGAGAAGCUCCAGGUCUCAUACAUGCUUCCAAUUCUUGGAUAAACUAUUUGUGUCAAUGCUUUAAUCUCUGGUAAAAUAGCAGCAGAAAUACAAAGGGGACAGAAUAUGGUUGCAUUUUUAAAGUGUGAUAGAGCCAUGAUCUACCAAGCAGAAGGGUUUAUAAAAUCCUUAAACAAGAUAAACUGGGUUCUUUCUGAGACAAGUGCAAAAAUACAGGCAGAAAAUGGAGUGGUAAUUCCUUGCAAUACUUGACACAAAGGUUUUCUACUGAUUUUAUAUCUCACAUUUAACAAGAUGUGAGGCUAAAUUAUGAGAUGCAAUUAAAAUUGCCAGAUUGACCACAUGACCUCAGGGAAUGCCUCACGGAGCUUGCAACAUGAGAGCAUUAGCACACCAUGGUGCUGCUGAUGUAACAUCUCUGAAAACAUUUUAAACCAAGCCUGUAUUGCAUUCAAGAAGGGUGGCACUUCCUGGAUUACAGGAUGGUGCAAAGAGCGACGGUGACAUAAAGGCAGAAAUACAGCAGAAGCAAAUUGUUCUCUUAGCUGUCUGCUAGAUCAGUUUGGUGCAAACACAUUGUCUUGUUUCUUGGAACUCAAUGAAAUUAUCUUAUUGGGGGUCUUGCUGAACCAGGGUUGUGUGCUUUCCAUUCAUCUCUGCUCCAGCUGCCACCUCUGGGAGUUUCAUCCAGGCUUACAUUUUGCAGCUGGGAAAGAAAGUCCUGGGUAACCAGGACUUUGCCCAGGGGAUCUAUUUUUGUCCAAGCUUUCAGGAUCAGUCUGCUGUCUGUGUACCAAUCAUUACAUUAUUCUGUUUAGUCACCAAGCUCACAUCUAAGGGCAUUCAGGACUAAAACUUGUCAAAAAACUAUUUUCAUGUUGAGAUUGGUUUAUGUUUCAAUGCAUGACUUGCAAAUCAAAAACUGCAACUCUUAUUAGCCUCCUUUGUGAGAAGAUGAGGCAGCAAUGCUUGCACCAUCAGAAUUAUCAGUAGCUUGGCAGAUACAAGGUUUUGGAUUGCUUAGAGGUGGGACCCUGCUGCCUAACUCAGGACAUUGCUUUACCUCAGUACCAUGGAGGUGAAUCUCUUGCCUCAUCUUGAAUAGAAAAUUGCAGCCUCAGUUGCAUUUUAAUGACAACUAGACCUCACCAAGGGGGUCGCAGUAUGAGCAUCCCCAAGAACAUCACAGGGCACUUCCUAUCACAGGGGGAUGCUACAGCCCUGGAGCAGCUCCAGUGCAUGUAAGAUUUUUUUUUUUUUACGUGUACCCUGAAGUUAAUAAAAAUACAUCUUCCUACUCUGUGCAAUGCCCUCCCUGCAAGGGGCUUCACUCCUGACCAAGGGUCAUUUAUACAUUCAUAUUUGUUCUCACCACCUUGUUGAUGCCUGAGGCACAGCCAGGAGAGCAGGAGGAUUGAUGAGAUAGCCCUAUGGCCCAAAACAAAGUGCUCUGAGAUUGCCUGAAGUAAAUUUGCAGUUGACCCUUCUGGCAGGUCUGCCCACAUUUCUUCUGAGCUCUGACAACCUCUUGCAUCCCAAGGGUCUGCACAAGAGGCAAACAGCUUCUGAACAGCAGGCUGGGCAGAUGGACUAGGAGGCAUUUACAAAGCUCCUGGCUCUUGUAGGGUGCAGCAGACUGUGUUUAAAAUCAAUGUCUCUGUGUCAGACACUUAGGAGCAUUUAGGGCAGAGAUGCUGCCACAGAUUCUCUGUCCCCAUGCACCUCCCCCAGGUUAGCAGGGGUAGGGACAAGUAUCAGGUGUGCUUCACAAGUGGGGAGAGGGAUGAAGGGAAACUGGAGGUCCCCAAAAAGAGGGAAAGCAUGGAGGUAGGGGCAUGGUGGCUAAUGCCACCUCCUUUUUCUACUCCCUGGCCACAGCACAGCCCCUCUGCAGAGCUACCACCCUGGGUAUUGGCAGGACUGUGGCACCCUGGCUUCAGUGCUGUGCUGAAAAAUGCAUGUUGAACUGGGAAUGAGCUGAGCUUUUGACAAGAUGCUCAUGUUCAGCACUCAGAGGAGCAUGGCCUGCUUCACCUACUAAAGAGGACAUUUGAAGGAUGCUUAUCUUUUCAGGGCAAGCUGGUAGCUAAUAUAAUGUGGUCUGUAACUUAGCAGAAAAAUGCAUAACAAAGUCCUAUAGCAAUGCUGGUUUUAGAACAAUUAAUUAGAAAUUGUGCAGUUAGCCAAAGAAGACAGGAAUUUUUUAACAGGGAAGAUAAUUAGCAUCAGGGACAGAGGAUGAGUGGUGGGACUGUUUCUGUCAGACCAGGAAGUCCUAUCUGCUCUAAUACUGCACGUUUCUUGGCUGCUGUAAGAGGCCACAGAAGAGCAUCAAAAGGGUCCUUUCUGCUUUUAAAAGACAGAAAGUCACCUUCUCCCUCCUACUUGUAACAGAUUGACUAGUUUUGUUCUAGUGACACCAUCCUCUUUGAUAAUCCUGCUGUCAAAUUAUUCCCCUCCUCUGUUCACAUUGCCUUGGGCACAGGUUCCUCCCAGGGGCUGGGCUGGAGCAGGCUGACUGCCCCUGACCCUCCAAGUCCCACCAUGGCCCCCCUUCACUGGCCAUCUUUGCUACUUACCUUUGGCCUCAGAGCAGCUGUAGUCUCUGCUCUUGUGCCCCAUGGAAGCUGCUCUCCCUGCACCACUCCACCUCCUUGAGGCUGAUGUUGUUUGCAACCUUCCCGGGGCAGACUGCCUGACUCCACGCUCUGCAUGGGUCAGGAAAACCAGGGCGUUUUCUCAGCUCUCAGCAACAGCAGGUCAAGCUCCCCAGAAGGGGGCUACAAAAUGAGGGUCAUUUUCUUCUUUCGUAUUGAUUCUUCUCUCCACUGAACAUGAAGCAGGAAUUUGAGUUAAAUGGAGUGUGGAUUUUCAUUUUUGCACAAUAAAUUUCAAACUAGGGCUCCUUUAUCCCAUGCAAAUAGCAUUAAUCUGCAACAGUAGCCUACUGAACAUUUGAAGGACUUUAUCCCAAAGGUGACGUUGUACUUCAUUACUGGGCAAUGAUAUUUUUUGUAUCCCUGUUCAGAAAGCAUGCCUCAAAUCACAGCUGGCAACUGCUAAACAAAUUUAACAGAUCUUUGCCCAGAAUCAGGAAACCAGCCCAGAAAUGCAGAAUAAGAAUUUGCUAAUUCCUAGUUAAACUGACACUACAGUUUGCUGUCUUCUGUUUAUGCAAACAUGCUGAUUAAUUUUUGCCCACGUGGGGUUGAGAUGGAAGCUAUACAGUUGUAGGAUAAUAUGUCCAGAUAUAAUAUUGCAGGCCAGGAUUCAAUCAGUCUAAUGCUCAUAAGCAAAGCAGUAAUACACUCAAAAAGAAAAAUAAACCAAUUUAUUUCUUCUAGAUGCACUAUUAGUUUUUAUAUCAUUAUGUUACCAUUAGCACAAGCACUGGCUGACAUGCACAGUACAGAUGAGUGAAUCAUACAGUCUUUUUGUGCCAGACAUUGGAAAUGGUUUUAGAAAUAAAGUGGUGGCUGCAGCUAAAGCUAAGGGGUGGGGAUGUGGCUUUCUUGUCCCCUCAUCUAGUCCCCAUCAUUAGGGCAGAUGAUGAAGUCACUUUCUACUCUCUGAAUCUCACCUUGCCACCUAUUGAGACGGCCCAGCUGAGAGAUGGCCCAGUGAGAGCUUAAGGACAAUCAGAGAAUAUGGUGAGCCAUGUUCCUAAAUGGAGAAGAGAAAUUCAGAAGGUUAAGGGGGUAAACCAGUCUCAAAAAAAAUCAGGUAUAGAGAAAAGGAGUGGCAGUUCUAUGGGCUCCUCCAGAUACUUGCACAUAUGCACUAUACACAUAAGACUAUGAAAAUCCUGGGAUCAGCAUUAAAUGGAUUUGGGAAGUUUUGAGCCUCCCAGAAGAGUGGGUUUCUCUCUUUUUAAGGUAGAGAGUUCAUUCCUAUCUUUCUAGACAGGCUAGGCACUAAAAUGAAAGGCUGACCCAAGGCCAGGCAGUGCCUUGAGCCACAUUUGCCCUUGCAAAGUUUCAGUAAUGGCACUGACCUAUGCUCCUGCUCAUGGGUCUGAACACCAAGUAAACUUCAGACAGAAAAAGCUUGUUAGGAUAACAAGCAUAACUUGCCUCAGGGGCUACAGGAGCCAUCUACACUGGGGAAAUGCCAAACCAAUAUCCUGAUUCAUAGACUAUAUGGUGCAACUGCAGAUAAAUGUAGAUAAAUGGUGAAAAACUUCCACUAAACUUCAUUUCAGAUGACUUUUGGCAAUGUCCUUGCUCUUCCUUCCUCUAACUCCCAGUGACAGGCAAAGAAGCCCAGCGAAAACUGUGUGGUCACUUAGCAGUUUGCCAGGAUGAUUUCUUCCUGACAUUGGCUGUCAGCCCAUGCACCUGCUCCCAGCCACACUGUCCCUCCUCAUUACCUAAAUCUGUCAUUUGGCCCCAAAUGAUCUCACUGCCACGAGUGAGAUUGUCUUGUUAUCAGCUAAGGCAAUGGCCCUGGCAAACCUGCACCAUCACCAGCAAAAUAACUGCAUCACAGUCCUCACACUCAGUGGCAACACGAUGACCUUGGAAGAUAAUUGUGGUAAGAACUCCGUGAUAAAAAGUAAGUGGAAAGGUAACUUAGGAAGCAAUGAGACUGAUAUAGUAAGAAUUAAAAUUACACACACCAAGUACCUAAUCUGCAUUAAGCAAGAUGUAGCUUUGCAGAAGCAGGCUCCAGAAUCUCAAAAAUAUGGUUUCUGUUUGAAACAAGCAACAAGAAAUUUUUUUGGCUCUCCAGAAGCUUUUUGAUAUAUGCUGCAAUACUGAUGGUAGUGCAGAGAAGAGAAACCCCAUUUUCUUGUACUGGUGCACACUUGGAAUAACACUGCUUCCCAUUACAGUAAUUUUUUUGCUUUAUUUUGCUUCAGUAGAAAGCAGAAUCUAGAAGAAUGAAUAAUGGAAUAACGUUAGAGCAGUGGUAUUUUUAGCAACUUAUCUCACUACAUUUGUGGCAACGGUUUACAAAGCAAAUUGUAACAUGUAAAUGUAAUUGUAACAUGUAAAUACAAGAUUUGGCAUUAGCAAACAGGUUCUGUGCAAGUUCCUAUCUACCUACAGGAUAGCACUGUCCAAGUAACAGCACAUAAAAGGCUUUCCUCUUUCCCCUUUUUCCCUUACUCCCUUUUUCAAGAGCCCAUUCCAUGCAAGUUACCUGCUAACUGCAAAGCACCUAACUUGAAACAGCUUUGUGGGAAAUCUCCAUUUGCUCCUUUGCAGGACAAUCUCUCACUGACCAAAGCAGAGAGCAGGCACCUCACUGUAGAAUCUCUUCCACACACCACACCUACAUUGACUUCCCACCCCUCCUAGAUACUGUCAUGGAUCCAGAGCUGCACACUGCUGGGAGUUAGAACAUCCUGGGCAAUGGUUGCUACACACUUGCCCCUUCCUUACACAAGUUCACAUCUUGCUCCUGGCCAUUGCCAGAGACCAAACACUGGGCUAGACAAGUAUUUAAUGUAACCCAGAACUGCUGCUCUUAUGCAACUCCCCUGGCAUAAGCACCCAGCUAGGGAGGUUUUGCAGUGCUGACAUUAAAGCUGUAAACUGCCCUGGCCUCCGGAAUUAUCUACUUCAAAAAUAACUCAUUUCAACCUCCAGCAAGUCUUCAGCACCCACACAAGGUGCCAUUGGUGGACCUUGGGAAGAAACUUUGGGAAGAGAACACCUUCAUUAAGGGACAACACAGCUGUCACUCAGCUUCAAAAUCAAAACUCGAGUGGGUUUUUCCAUUUUCUUUCCUCCAACACAAUGAAUAUCCUGCCAGUCCUUUCCCUUGAAAUAUCAAUAAAACAAGUUUAUAUUAAUGACUGACAGAGAAUGACAAGAUGGCAAAUGUCAGCUGUAGCACAGGAAUAAAGUUAUUAAUGGGAUAUAUGCCUGGAGCAAUUGAAGACAGGAGAGUGAGGACAUAACCCAGGCAAUUCUUUUCCGUGUACAAGUAAUUUGCAUUUAUGUGUACAAGAAAUUUGCUUGCAUUUCUAACUCUCUCUUGUGACUUUUUUUCAGCACCAUUGCUCUCCAUCUGGGUUUACAUGCACCUGCUUCACAGUUUGCCUCUAGGUAAGGGAUGCACUUUAUACUGAGGUUCUUGCAUGAUAAUCUUUCUCCUGAUCUGGAUUCCAGAUUCAACUCAUCUUAUAUGCUGGCUUCAUGUGAAGAUGUAAAAGCUAUAUGAGGGCCAUUGUUUUCAUCAGUUUUUCAGAUUUCUCAAAUAUUGGAGUAGUUGGUUCAUAAGGACAGGACAAAUGCUAUUUCACUAUUUUUUAUUUGCUAUAAUCAGUCAGUAUCUGAAAUAAAACCAAACAUACCUUGGAUUGCUUUUAUUUUUUUUUUUUUCCUUUAAAGGAAUAACCAGCACAAUACUAAGCCACAAUUAAUAUCAAGGUUAGGUACAACACUGGCAUUAACAGAGCCUCCUUGAGCUGAGGAAGGCUAACUAAAGGAUGCACAAAUGCAGACAGGAUUUCUUCAAGGCACACAUUCCACUAAAGAAAAUACUCCCACUUCAUAGUGCAGGCAGGCAAAAGCCAGACUUUUUAUUUCAGUUUAAAAUAACAAAUAUUCACCUACAAUCACAGUAUACUGCUUAGUUUAUCGCUUCUGCUUUGAAUUCUGUGCUUUCACUUCACGUGUCUACAUUUUGCAUUUGUGUACACGCUGCAGAAGUAACUUUGUAUAUCAUUUAACAUCUGUGCAUAUCUUUUAGAACUUAAUAUUACAUGAAAAUUAAAAUAAAUUUUGAAUUUUAAGGUACUGAAAACAAUCAAUAAAGUUCCACGGAAAAAAAAUAGUAUAAAUGUUUCUUAUAGUACAGUACUCAUAAUUUUACAUCAGAGUCAUUUUAAUGCCAUAGUUUUCAAAUAUUGACUGUAUAAAGAGGAGACAAGGGGAAAAAUUAUCUAAAAUGCCUUUCCUAAGUCUGUUAGACUCUGGUGAUUUAUGAUAUAUGUACAGUAUAUAAAUAAAUUUAUGUAUAUAUGUACAUAUAUAUUGGUUAACAUUCGUUAUAAAUAGAACUGUGUUAACCUAAGCAGUAUAAAAAUAGCCACUUUCCUGGGAACAUGCAAACACAAUAUGCUCUCACCUAACCUAUAAAACUCAAAACAACCAAAACCUUUAGUUCUGAUUUUCUACAAAUAUAAAUUUCAAUUGAAGACUUUCAGCUGAUUUAACCAUAAAGUAAGUUUUUCCAGUAAAGAUAUAAAAAACUGUUUGAUGCUAGCUAUAAUUAAGCUCAAACACAGUAUAUUUUGGGUUAUUUACUUUCAAGUAUUUUUCCCACGUGCGCUAAAUCUAGACACGCUGCAUUUGUUUUCUUUACAGUAAAUUAUUAUUCAGCUCUAAACACUAAAAGCCAAAUUACAGGCAAUCUGGCAUGCUUGCACUGCAGGUAAAAGGCUCUCCUCUACACUGUUCCUAUGUGGGAGGCUGUCCUAUUAUGGCUAUUUGUGCUCCAGAUCUUUUGUUCAUUGCAAAGCCUUAUCAAGAUUCCCCUAUCAUAAGAUUCUUAAGGCCAGAAGAGAAAGUACUACAACCACUUAAACGUCAUCUCAUGCUCACUGAAAUUCACUCUGAGGUACCUGCAUUCAGCACAGUGACUGGUAGCUGGACUAAAACACCUCUGCUGU